This 433-nucleotide ribosomal RNA is filed under the name uncultured bacterium. Its description in RNAcentral is "partial 16S ribosomal RNA". It matches the Rfam family "Bacterial small subunit ribosomal RNA", at positions 29 to 507 of the family's 1533-position model. The record is from RNAcentral.
AACGAACGCUGGCGGCAUGCCUAACACAUGCAAGUCGAACGAGACCUUCGGGUCUAGUGGCGCACGGGUGCGUAACGCGUGGGAACCUGCCCUUAGGUUCGGAAUAACUCCCCGAAAGGGGUGCUAAUACCGGAUAAUGUCUUCGGACCAAAGAUUUAUCGCCUUUGGAUGGGCCCGCGUUGGAUUAGCUAGUUGGUAGGGUAAAAGCCUACCAAGGCGACGAUCCAUAGCUGGUCUGAGAGGAUGAUCAGCCACACUGGGACUGAGACACGGCCCAGACUCCUACGGGAGGCAGCAGUGGGGAAUAUUGGACAAUGGGCGAAAGCCUGAUCCAGCAAUGCCGCGUGAGUGAUGAAGGCCUUAGGGUUGUAAAGCUCUUUUACCCGGGAUGAUAAUGACAGUAUCGGGAGAAUAAGCGCCGGCUAACUCCGUG